GGUACCGUCAGCGCCAUGUCCUUAUCUUACAUGGCGGGUUCUUCCCACCUGACAGAGCUUUACGACCCAAGGCCUUCAUCACUCACGCGGCGUUGCUGCGUCAGGGUUUCCCCCAUUGCGCAAAAAUUCCUCA
Molecule: ribosomal RNA, 133 nt
Filed under: uncultured bacterium
Lineage: Bacteria
Description: partial 16S ribosomal RNA
Source: RNAcentral